GAUGAACGCUAGCUACAGGCUUAACACAUGCAAGUCGAGGGGUAACGAGAGGAAAGCUUGCUUUCCUUGUCGACGACCGGCGCACGGGUGAGUAACGCGUAUCCAACCUGCCCCCAACUAAGGAAUAACCUUGCGAAAGUAAGACUAAUACCUUAUAAUUUCCUCAGAUGUCAUCUGACGAGGAAUAAAGAUUUAUCGGUUGUGGAUGGGGAUGCGUCUGAUUAGCUUGUUGGCGGGGUAACGGCCCACCAAGGCAACGAUCAGUAGGGGUUCUGAGAGGAAGGUCCCCCACAGUGGAACUGAGACACGGUCCAAACUCCUACGGGAGGCAGCAGUGAGGAAUAUUGGUCAAUGGGCGGAAGCCUGAACCAGCCAAGUAGCGUGCAGGAUGACGGCCCUAUGGGUUGUAAACUGCUUUUAUACAGGAAUAAAGUUAGCCACGUGUGGUUAUUUGUAGGUACUGUAUGAAUAAGGACCGGCUAAUUCCGUGCCAGCCGCCGCUGUAA
RNAcentral lists this ribosomal RNA (506 nucleotides) under uncultured bacterium. RNAcentral describes it as "partial 16S ribosomal RNA". It matches the Rfam family "Bacterial small subunit ribosomal RNA", at positions 28 to 523 of the family's 1533-position model. The record is from RNAcentral.